GGUUAAGUGAAUAAGGGCGCACGGUGGAUGCCUUGGCACUAGGAGCCGAUGAAGGACGGGACUAACACCGAUAUGCUUUGGGGAGCUGUAAGUAAGCUAUGAUCCAGAGAUUUCCGAAUGGGGGAACCCAAUAUCUUUUAUAGGAUAUUACUUUUCAGUGAAUACAUAGCUGAUUAGAGGUAGACGCAGAGAACUGAAACAUCUUAGUACCUGCAGGAAGAGAAAGAAAAUUCGAUUCCCUGAGUAGCGGCGAGCGAAACGGGAAGAGCCCAAACCAACAAGCUUGCUUGUUGGGGUUGUAGGACUCCAAUAUGGUAGUCUGUUAGUAUAGUUGAAGGAUUUGGAAAAUUCCGCUAAAGAGGGUGAAAGCCCCGUAGACGAAAUGCUAACAACACCUAGGAGGAUCCUGAGUACGGCGGAACACGAGAAAUUCCGUCGGAAUCCGCGGGGACCAUCCCGCAAGGCUAAAUACUCCCUAGUGACCGAUAGUGAACCAGUACCGUGAGGGAAAGGUGAAAAGCACCCCGGAAGGGGAGUGAAAUAGAUCCUGAAACCGUGUGCCUACAACAAGUCAAAGCUCGUUAAUGAGUGAUGGCGUGCCUUUUGUAGAAUGAACCGGCGAGUUACGAUUGCAUGCGAGGUUAAGUCGAAGAGACGGAGCCGCAGCGAAAGCGAGUCUGAAUAGGGCGAAUGAGUAUGUAGUCGUAGACCCGAAACCAUGUGAUCUACCCAUGUCCAGGUUGAAGGUGCGGUAAAACGCACUGGAGGACCGAACCCACGUACGUUGAAAAGUGCGGGGAUGAGGUGUGGGUAGCGGAGAAAUUCCAAACGAACUUGGAGAUAGCUGGUUCUCUCCGAAAUAGCUUUAGGGCUAGCCUCGGAAUUGAGAAUGAUGGAGGUAGAGCACUGUUUGGACUAGGGGCCCAUCUCGGGUUACCGAAUUCAGAUAAACUCCGAAUGCCAUUCAUUUAUAUCCGGGAGUCAGACUGCGAGUGAUAAGAUCCGUAGUCGAAAGGGAAACAGCCCAGACCACCAGCUAAGGUCCCAAAAUAUAUGUUAAGUGGAAAAGGAUGUGGGGUUGCACAGACAACUAGGAUGUUGGCUUAGAAGCAGCCACCAUUUAAAGAGUGCGUAAUAGCUCACUAGUCGAGUGACCCUGCGCCGAAAAUGUACCGGGGCUAAACAUAUUACCGAAGCUGUGGACUACACCAUUAGGUGUAGUGGUAGGAGAGCGUUCUAAGGGCGUUGAAGGUCGAUCGUGAGGACGGCUGGAGCGCUUAGAAGUGAGAAUGCCGGUAUGAGUAGCGAAAGACAGGUGAGAAUCCUGUCCACCGUAUGACUAAGGUUUCCUGGGGAAGGCUCGUCCGCCCAGGGUUAGUCGGGACCUAAGCCGAGGCCGAUAGGCGUAGGCGAUGGACAACAGGUUGAUAUUCCUGUACCAGUUGUUUUUGUUUGAGCAAUGGAGGGACGCAGUAGGCUAAGGAAUGCAUGCGAUUGGAAGUGCAUGUCCAAGCAAUGAGUCUUGAGUAGAGUUAAAUGCUUUACUCUCUAAGGACAAGUUGUGACGGGGAGCGAAAUAAUAGUAGCGAAGUUCCUGAUGUCACACUGCCAAGAAAAGCUUCUAGUGAGAAAACAACUGCCCGUACCGUAAACCGACACAGGUAGUCGAGGAGAGUAUCCUAAGGUGAGCGAGCGAACUCUCGUUAAGGAACUCGGCAAAAUGACCCCGUAACUUCGGGAGAAGGGGUGCUGACGACCGUCAGCCGCAGUGAAUAGGCCCAAGCGACUGUUUAUCAAAAACACAGGUCUCUGCAAAAUCGUAAGAUGAAGUAUAGGGGCUGACGCCUGCCCGGUGCUGGAAGGUUAAGAGGAUGGGUUAGCUUCGGCGAAGCUCAGAAUUGAAGCCCCAGUAAACGGCGGCCGUAACUAUAACGGUCCUAAGGUAGCGAAAUUCCUUGUCGGGUAAGUUCCGACCCGCACGAAAGGCGUAACGAUUUGG
This 1999-nucleotide ribosomal RNA is filed under the name Citrobacter sp. Its description in RNAcentral is "partial 23S ribosomal RNA". It matches the Rfam family "Bacterial large subunit ribosomal RNA", at positions 1 to 2012 of the family's 2925-position model. The record is from RNAcentral. Lineage: Bacteria; Pseudomonadati; Pseudomonadota; Gammaproteobacteria; Enterobacterales; Enterobacteriaceae.